AAACAUAGCCUUUAGCAGUACAAGUAUUAAAGGUCUCGCCUGCCCCAGUGAUUCUUUCAACGGCCGCGGUAUCCUAACCGUGCAAAGGUAGCGUAAUCAUUUGUCUCCUAAAUAGAGACUUGUAUGAACGGCUAACUGAGGGCCUAACUGUCUCCUAAAGCCAAUCAAUGAAACUGAUCUCCCAGUACAAAAGCUGGGAUAUACACAUAAGACGAGAAGACCCUGUGGAGCUUAAAAUACACACUAUUUUCAACCAAUUAAUAAAACUACGGAAACAAGCCAACAACAAUAUAGUGACACUUUUUAGUUGGGGCGACUUUGGAACAAAAAAAAACUUCCAUGACAGGGAACACCCCCUACCAAGGCCCACAAGCCAAAAUAACUUCUUUUGACCCAGACACCUGAUCAACGAACCAAGUUACCCCAGGGAUAACAGCGCCAUCCUCUUCAAGAGUCCAUAUCGCCAAGAGGGCUUACGACCUCGAUGUUGGAUCAGGACAUCCUAGUGGUGCAGCCGCUACUAAGGGUUCGUUUGUUCAACGAUUAACAGU
This 551-nucleotide ribosomal RNA is filed under the name Delma butleri. RNAcentral's name for it is "partial 16S ribosomal RNA". It matches the Rfam family "Bacterial large subunit ribosomal RNA", at positions 1811 to 2594 of the family's 2925-position model. Lineage: Eukaryota; Metazoa; Chordata; Lepidosauria; Squamata; Pygopodidae. The record is from RNAcentral.